Molecule: unclassified non-coding RNA, 885 nt
Filed under: Hevea brasiliensis (rubber tree)
Lineage: Eukaryota; Viridiplantae; Streptophyta; Magnoliopsida; Malpighiales; Euphorbiaceae
Source: RNAcentral
CCUCUCUCUUCCCGUUGAUAAACCCUACCUGCUGCUCCUCCGCCGGAGCGCCACCGCGAAGUCUACCUCUCCUUAUCAACACUGAGUAGCAUAUUCCGGUGACCUGAUAUGGAUGCUAUGGAUGCUGAGGAUGAGGUUCCUGUUUCAACUUCAGAAACUUCAACCCUAGUUGAUGAUAAUUCAACUGUGGUUAAUGCUACAGGUGCAGUUAAUCUUCAACCAGUUCCAGCUGUCAUUCCACCAGUUGCUCCGACGGCUAUCCUUCCUCCUGUCGUGCCUGCAAUUGCUCCAAGGCUUGCAGUUCCUCCCCCUAUUCCUCCCCCAUUAGCUCCGUUGCCUGUUCGUCCACCUGUCCUUAGGCCUCCGGUAGCACAGAAUGGAGAAAUGCAAGAGAAUGAUUCAGAUUCAGACCUUGAAGAAAUGGUAUCCGGUCGUGGUGCUGCGGGCUCCACGCAAGAAUAUGAGAUCUCUGAGGAGAGUAGAAUUGUCCGAGAGAGGCAGGAGAAGGCCCUGCAGGAGCUUCUCAUGAAGAGACGUGCUGCUGCGCUUGCAGUUCCCACAAAUGAUAUGGCCGUUCGAGCUCGACUGCGAAGGCUUGGCGAACCCAUAACUCUCUUUGGAGAAAGGGAGAUGGAAAGAAGGGAUCGACUGCGGAUGCUUAUGGCAAGGCUUGAUGCAGAAGGGCAGCUGGAAAAGCUGAUGAAAGCUCAUGAGGAUGAAGAAGCUGCAGCUUCUGCAGCACCAGCAGAGGAGGAAGAUAUUCAAUACCCUUUUUACACAGAAGGAUCGAAAGCACUUUUAGAUGCUAGGGUAGAAAUUGCAAAGUAUUCCUUAGUUAAGUCAGCUUUACGUCUCCAUCGCGCAAGGAGGAAAAGGGAUGAUCCA